AGCCACAACAAGAAUUGUUGGUUUUCUCUGGUUCUCAAUUUGUCCUCUCAAAUAAUAUAUUUUUUCAUUUCUCUUCAUCUUCGCAGUUGGGUGUUGCAACUUUCAGGUUGAAUCUCUCGGAACAAGUAGAACAAGCAUUAUGAUUGAUUAUAGAGAGAGCAUUGCUAGCCGAAUAAUGUGAUUUAUCCCUUGAUAGAGAAAUAUGCUCACAUCAGGUUAAACUACCCAAAAUUUUCUUGCCAUGGUUGCAGAUGACUAAAGCCUCUCCUCCAUCACUUAAAUUGGUAAUGGCAAUGAACUAUAUA
Molecule: non-coding RNA, 305 nt
Organism: Nicotiana tabacum (common tobacco)
Lineage: Eukaryota; Viridiplantae; Streptophyta; Magnoliopsida; Solanales; Solanaceae
Source: RefSeq, a predicted model, not a curated record